UAGGGAAUCUUCGGCAAUGGACGAAAGUCUGACCGAGCAACGCCGCGUGUGUGAAGAAGGUUUUCGGAUCGUAAAACUCUGUUGUUAGAGAAGAACAAGGACGUUAGUAACUGAACGUCCCCUGACGGUAUCUAACCAGAAAGCCACGGCUAACUACGUGCCAGCAGCCGCGUUAAUACGUAUGUGGCAAGCGUUGUCCGGAUUUAUUGGGCGUAAAGCGAGCGCAGGCGGUUUCUUAAGUCUGAUGUGAAAGCCCCCGGCUCAACCGGGGAGGGUCAUUGGAAAAUGGGAGACUUGAGUGCAGAAGAGGAGAGGGGAAUUCCAUGUGUAGAGGGGAAAGGCGUAGAUAUAUGGAGGAACACCAGUGGAGAAGGCGGAUCUCUGGUCUGUAAAUGACGCUGAGGCUCGAAAGCGUGGGGAGCAAACAGG
Molecule: ribosomal RNA, 429 nt
Filed under: Gemmatimonadota bacterium
Lineage: Bacteria; Pseudomonadati; Gemmatimonadota
Description: Gemmatimonadetes bacterium partial 16S ribosomal RNA
Rfam family: Bacterial small subunit ribosomal RNA
Source: RNAcentral